This 387-nucleotide ribosomal RNA is filed under the name Triticum aestivum (bread wheat). Its description in RNAcentral is "partial small subunit ribosomal RNA". Lineage: Eukaryota; Viridiplantae; Streptophyta; Magnoliopsida; Poales; Poaceae. The record is from RNAcentral.
AUGUGCAGACACAGCCUCAGCUCAGCUCGAUCAAUGGCCCCUGCACAAUCUCAAUGUGCCACCCGCGUUUCCGUCGGGGCACUAGCAGUAGCAGCAGCAGCAGCAGCAGCACUAGUGGUGCUGUCGGCCUCCCCAAGCCUGGCCAACGGUGAUACUGAUACGGAUCUCGCCUCGCUGCUGGCUUUCAAAGCACAGCUCUCCGAUCCUCUUGGUGUCCUUGCUACCAACUGGACCGUCACCGAUGGCGGCGGGUCCUCAUUCUGUGGCUGGGUUGGCGUCACCUGCAGCCGCCGCCGGCAGCGGGUCACCGCCUUGUCGCUGCCGGACGUUUCCCUCCAUGGAACCCUUGCUCCUCACGUCGGAGAUUACAGGCGUUUUACAGGCUGA